Molecule: transfer RNA, 73 nt
Filed under: Caudoviricetes sp.
Lineage: Duplodnaviria; Heunggongvirae; Uroviricota; Caudoviricetes
Description: tRNA-Gln
Rfam family: tRNA
About the family: Transfer RNA (tRNA) molecules are approximately 80 nucleotides in length. Their secondary structure includes four short double-helical elements and three loops (D, anti-codon, and T loops).
Source: RNAcentral
AGCGCAUUGGCGAAGCGGUUAACGCACCGGACUUUGACUCCGUUAUACGUGGGUUCGAAUCCCACAUGCGCCG